UUCGAUAAGUUGCAUAACAAGCUUCGGAGAUGUGUUGUUCGCAUUGUGCGUGUCGAAGAGGGCGAGAAGUCUGUAAUUACUCCCGGCACGAUUGCUUCGUUGCGUUCCAACAACUGCAUUGUAAUAGCAGACGCCACGACCUUCCAGAUGGGCACUGUAGCUCGCUAUGAAGUUGUGUUUCCAGACAGCAACAGAACAACAGUGCUGCUUCAGAAGGAAAAUGUAGCAAUAGAGAAGGGCAUGGCUGCGUUCAAUAUUCCUAAUACUCCAUUUGAUUCUAGUUUCGUAGAGGCUGUUUCUCUUUGUGAGCAUGAGGCUUUAGAGAAUCAAAUUGUUUAUAGUCUUGGUUUUGAUAAAGAUAGAACCAUUCCCAGUCAUUUAUCCGAAGGUUCAGUGAUCACUGCAGAUUCACAACAGUUCAUUCACAACUGCUCUCGUGACACUUUCACUAAAUUCGGGUCACCGGUUUUCGACGCAAAGGGUUCAUUGGUUGGUCUCUCUUCUUCUUCUGAUCCUGGAGUCUGAGUUUGUUAUAAUCUUCAAGUCCUUCAACGAUUCGUUACAUAUCUUUGUCGAGAUGAAAAGGUAUGCUGCUUAUAA
This 600-nucleotide ribosomal RNA is filed under the name Triticum aestivum (bread wheat). Its description in RNAcentral is "partial small subunit ribosomal RNA". Lineage: Eukaryota; Viridiplantae; Streptophyta; Magnoliopsida; Poales; Poaceae. The record is from RNAcentral.